GCCCUCAUGUAAACUCGAAUGCUGGAAAGGGUCUUCACUGUCACUUCACUGACAGAAGCUGCCCAGGAGAGCUGUGGCGUGAGUAACCUAUGUGAGUAAAUAAGUUCACCACCGAAUUUGUCUGCAGCUUCUUUCUGCUGCGAGGGUGUGGAGGCAGCGUCCAACAAUAUUUUAUCAUGGGCAAACCAGCAGUGAAAAGCAGGAAGAGAAUACUGCUGUCUCCAGGCCAUUAAUGAAAUUGACAGACACGCCAUGGACAAUAUAUGAAGGAGGAAAACCAAAGCUUUAUUUCCAGUGACCUGCUGCAUUUAGAACAACUAUCCAAUCUCUAUUAUGACCAUUAGGACAGCCAGAAACAGAAGAAGAGCUACAAGGAAAUAUGUCACAAAAGUCAGAAACCAAAUUUCUCUUGCUGGACAAAAGGCUCCAAAAGAUCAGAAAGGUUCAUCUAUAAAGACACAUCACAGGAUGACUUUGAAUCUGCUGGCAAAAUUGAGCAGUAUCAUCAAAAAGCCCUGCUCAUAGAGCAUUAUAUUUAAAGCCAUCAUUUCAGAAUUCAACCAGCAACUACCUAAAAUGAGAAUUUCUACAAAGCUCUCAGAUGAAAUAAUGAAAACUGAACAAUGGCAGCCUAAAGCUGCUAUGAUGAAUCAAGCAAGGAAAAAAAAACCCAUAUAACUAUGUGUACUACACCAUCAGAUAAUACACAUGAAAACUCAAAGCACUGAGUGACUUAAAUAAAUGCCCUGAUGCUGGGUGCAAGGCAAGACCAGAGGAGUUAAUUGAAGGAAAAAACACUGAAUGCCACAAACUCCAUAGGAAGUGUCUGAGCCACAGCUGGUGGCAAGCUGGGGUUACUACCAAGGGCAACCCCAUAAAAGGCUCACUCUCAUUCUACCUCCCUUCAGAGGCAUCAACCUUUUGGCCAUCCUCAGAAGCAGCAUACUUGGCAAGCUGUUCCAAUGCCUGGAGAGCAUCAUGUAAAAGGCUCAUGGUCCUCUUGAGGACACUGUGUCAGUUAGCUUCAGGUUUCCUAGAACAGCUCAGAGACCUCAAGAAAACAAAACAAAAAAAAUAUACAGAAAGGUAAUCCAAACUUACAACCUUUAGACUUUUCUCCCAGAUACCUGCAAGUCAGUAAUUUUUAGUAAGUGGUAACACUGACAUAAUUCAGUUUUUCUCUUCUGUGUGUAAAUUCACUUCAGUGUGACAGGCUGUAUUCAAAGGACAGCUUAAUUAUAAUGAAGAAUAAUAGGCAAUCACAGUACCUUUUCUUUAGAGAACACCUCUGAUUAGGUAUCAUCGGGACACAUGAAAACAACAGUGAAAGAAAUGCACAAUUUACCUUUAGUUAGCUAAACCUGUAAAUAAGAGCAGUGAAAAUCUUAAUUGCUAUAAUUUAAAUCCUGAUUGAAGCUCAUAUGUCAACUAAAAUGAUAGAUUUAAGAAGAAAAGCAGUUACUGCUUUGGUUGAUGUUACACAAGCAGCUACCUCCGGACAUUUGGAGUCAUGAGAGGUGAUAGCUCAGGCUAGCAAGUCAAGUAAAAUCGCUUAGUUGUUAUGCAAGGUAGGAGACAAGGGGUGAGAAAGAAGGCAGGCAAAAAAGGGUGUGUUCCUUAGGAGUUAUUUUAACCCCUAGAGCAAUGAAAAGUACAGAACAAAUGAACAGUAAAGCCUCUAGUCAUGUUCGUAAUUAUAACUAAGGUGCAAUGCAAAUUCUAGGUAUCCCAAUAUUUAAAUCCAACAACGAAACAUAUUUUUGCUGGCUGUAAGUUACUCUAAUUAAUGGUACCAAUUCAGUGUUACAUUUACAUGGACAAAUCCCUUCUUCAAUUAGAGCAGCUAGCAGACAAGCUGAAGUGUUUCUUAGUUCAGAACUCCCAAGCACCUGAUUCAAAUGAAUAUUUAUAGCACUCAGCUCUCCACUAUUCUAGCAGAGUUAUUAGGGAGAAGCACAA
Long non-coding RNA from Pseudopodoces humilis (Tibetan ground-tit), 1959 nucleotides. RefSeq lists it as uncharacterized. Lineage: Eukaryota; Metazoa; Chordata; Aves; Passeriformes; Paridae. The record is from RefSeq and is a predicted model, not a curated record.